Molecule: long non-coding RNA, 500 nt
Organism: Hevea brasiliensis (rubber tree)
Lineage: Eukaryota; Viridiplantae; Streptophyta; Magnoliopsida; Malpighiales; Euphorbiaceae
Exons: 2
Source: RefSeq, a predicted model, not a curated record
CCACACAACCCAAAAACACCUUGAAUAUUAUAAUGGAAACAAGUUCAUGAUCAAGCCCACGAAUGGUUGAACAAUAUACUUUAUGUUUGUCUCCAAAACAAAGAUCCACUCCACAAGCAGACAGCAGAGUUAAAUUCGUGAGUAUAAUUGGUGAUGUCUGAUAGAUUGCCCUCUUCUUCCGUGUCCAUUUGCUCCGAGCUACAAUCCGGAAUGAAGAAAAGAAGCACACAAAAUGGCACUAGGAUUUCAUUUCCACCAGGACUGGUCAAAACUGAGUUCAAGACUUUGGUUUUUCUGAUGUCGGGAUUCAAGAAUUCGUACAUUGCCGACUAGAUUUUUUAUAGACAAUCAAUUAUAAGGCACAACAGCAAGCCUCCAAGACAGGAUACAUUACACAGUACUCAUGUUGAUGUCGCAUUCUGCUCUUGCUCCCUAUUUUUUUCCUCUUGAUUAUAGAAAUUAAUUAGUAAGAAAUAAAAGACUUCAAAAGGAAUUGUUUC